UACGAAGGGGGCUAGCGUUGUUCGGAAUUACUGGGCGUAAAGGGCUCGUAGGCGGCCAACUAAGUCAGACGUGAAAUCCCCAGGCUCAACCGGGGAACUGCGUCUGAUACUGGGCGGCUUGAAUUCGGGAGAGGGAUGCGGAAUUCCAGGUGUAGCGGUGAAAUGCGUAGAUAUCUGGAGGAACAUCGGUGGCGAAGGCGGCAUCCUGGACCGAGAUUGACGCUGAGGCGCGAAAGCCAGGGGAGCAAACGGG
Molecule: ribosomal RNA, 253 nt
Filed under: uncultured bacterium
Lineage: Bacteria
Description: partial 16S ribosomal RNA
Rfam family: Bacterial small subunit ribosomal RNA
Source: RNAcentral